RNAcentral lists this non-coding RNA (93 nucleotides) under Paenibacillus swuensis. RNAcentral describes it as "c-di-GMP sequence". It matches the Rfam family "c-di-GMP-I riboswitch aptamer". From Rfam's summary of the family: GEMM was predicted in a large-scale screen for bacterial structured RNA regulatory elements. Genes associated with GEMM are involved in a diverse array of functions, including chemotaxis regulation, signal transduction, secretion and chitin. Lineage: Bacteria; Bacillati; Bacillota; Bacilli; Caryophanales; Paenibacillaceae. The record is from RNAcentral.
CACCGAUAAAGGCAAAUUUAGCGAAAGCUAAAGACGCAAAACUAAAGGGUCUUCCUUAGUAGAAUUCUACUAAAAAGACAGCCAGUUACCGAA